Molecule: unclassified non-coding RNA, 324 nt
Filed under: uncultured fungus
Lineage: Eukaryota; Fungi
Description: partial contains 5.8S ribosomal RNA and internal transcribed spacer 2
Rfam family: 5.8S ribosomal RNA (bases 1-133)
Source: RNAcentral
UGGUUCUGGCAUNGAUGAAGAACGCAGCGAAAUGCGAUAAGUAAUGCGAAUUGCAGAAUUCCGUGAGUCAUCGAAUCUUUGAACGCACAUUGCGCCCUUUGGCAUUCCGAAGGGCAUGCCUGUUCGAGCGUCAUUAACAACCCUCAAGCCUGGCUUGCUGUUGGACCUGGUCGACCUUUGUCAACCGGUCUCGAAGAUAAUGACGGUGUCUGUUAGACCCCCAGUACAAUGAGCUCCCUUGAGCACGUACUGUGGUGGGCUUGCGGGCCCGGUCUCAUUUUAAUUCUUAAGGUUGACCUCGGAUCAGGUAGGAAUACCCGCUGA